GGUGAACGCUGGCGGCGUGCCUAAUACAUGCAAGUCGAGCGAACGGACGAGAAGCUUGCUUCUCUGAUGUUAGCGGCGGACGGGUGAGUAACACGUGGAUAACCUACCUAUAAGACUGGGAUAACUUCGGGAAACCGGAGCUAAUACCGGAUAAUAUUUUGAACCGCAUGGUUCAAAAGUGAAAGACGGUCUUGCUGUCACCUAUAGAUGGAUCCGCGCUGCAUUAGCUAGUUGGUAAGGUAACGGCUUACCAAGGCAACGAUGCAUAGCCGACCUGAGAGGGUGAUCGGCCACACUGGAACUGAGACACGGUCCAGACUCCUACGGGAGGCAGCAGUAGGGAAUCUUCCGCAAUGGGCGAAAGCCUGACGGAGCAACGCCGCGUGAGUGAUGAAGGUCUUCGGAUCGUAAAACUCUGUUAUUAGGGAAGAACAUAUGUGUAAGUAACUGUGCACAUCUUGACGGUACCUAAUCAGAAAGCCACGGCUAACUACGUG
Molecule: ribosomal RNA, 497 nt
Filed under: uncultured bacterium
Lineage: Bacteria
Description: partial 16S ribosomal RNA
Rfam family: Bacterial small subunit ribosomal RNA
Source: RNAcentral